ACUUCGGUGCGAGUACAGCGGCGGACGGGUGAGUAACGCGUAGGAAUCUACCCGGUAGUGGGGGACAACUUGUGGAAACGCAAGCUAACACCGCAUACGCCCCAAGGGGGAAAGCGGGGGAUCUUCGGACCUCGCGCUAUCGGAUGAGCCUGCGUAGGAUUAGCUAGUUGGUGGGGUAAAGGCUCACCAAGGCGACGAUCCUUAGCUGGUCUGAGAGGAUGAUCAGCCACACUGGGACUGAGACACGGCCCAGACUCCUACGGGAGGCAGCAGUGGGGAAUAUUGCGCAAUGGGGGCAACCCUGACGCAGCCAUGCCGCGUGUGUGAAGAAGCCUUAGGGUUGUAAAGCACUUUCAAUUGGGAAGAAAAGUUGCAGGUUAAUAACCUGCAGCCCUGACAUUACCUUUAGAAGAAGCACCGGCUAACUCCGUGCCAGCAGCCGCGGUAAUACGGAGGGUGCGAGCGUUAAUCGGAAUUACUGGGCGU
Molecule: ribosomal RNA, 486 nt
Filed under: uncultured Gammaproteobacteria bacterium
Lineage: Bacteria; Pseudomonadati; Pseudomonadota; Gammaproteobacteria
Description: bacterial SSU rRNA
Rfam family: Bacterial small subunit ribosomal RNA
Source: RNAcentral